AGAGUUUGAUCAUGGCUCAGAUUGAACGCUGGCGGCAGGCCUAACACAUGCAAGUCGAGCGGCAGCACAGAGGAACUUGUUCCUUGGGUGGCGAGCGGCGGACGGGUGAGUAAUGCCUGGGAAAUUGCCCG
RNAcentral lists this ribosomal RNA (131 nucleotides) under Vibrio cholerae CIRS101. RNAcentral describes it as "partial 16S ribosomal RNA". It matches the Rfam family "Bacterial small subunit ribosomal RNA", at positions 8 to 131 of the family's 1533-position model. The record is from RNAcentral. Lineage: Bacteria; Pseudomonadati; Pseudomonadota; Gammaproteobacteria; Vibrionales; Vibrionaceae.